Molecule: RNA transcript, 2213 nt
Organism: Octodon degus (degu)
Lineage: Eukaryota; Metazoa; Chordata; Mammalia; Rodentia; Octodontidae
Gene name: eukaryotic translation initiation factor 2 subunit 3, X-linked pseudogene
Exons: 2
Source: RefSeq, a predicted model, not a curated record
CGAGCACUGGCACGGGGGCCGGCGUCCACGUCUGAGAAGGUCGUUGGUCGUCUUGAUCUUCGCGUGUCCAGGCCAAGGUCUGAUCAACCAGGGGGUUACGAGAGAGAAUCGUUCACAGAGCUGCCGACGGGGCGAGCGCCUACCCAGGCUGGAGGCCCGGGGCCCUGCCGAGCCCGGGAAGGUUCCGCCCGGCGGGGCCUCUGGGACGCCUCGGAGCGCGGCCCGGGAGGAAUGGAAACCGCUUCACGGGCAGGACGAUUCUUGCCAGGCGAACCCAGCCCCGGGCUGGAUCUGAGAUGAAAGAGCUACCGUGAAUCUGCCUACAACACCAGGAGAUACCCCCCAAGCCAUGCCCUGACUACAAAGGUCACCACUGGAAGUUGAACAGCACUCUGAGGCGAGGAUCCAGAGUUCAGACUCAUCUUCCUGGCUGAUCUAGCAAGACUAAAGGGCCCUGGGACACUCUCUGCAUUCUUCCUCUGGCCAGACUGUCAUCUCCACAGAGCAGGGAAAUCAUGACUAUAGAAGGGAAGAGAACCUCUUGCUGGCCAUUGGCAUAUGCUACUUUGUCCUCUUCAAACCUGGCCUUUACACUUCCUUCUUCUCCUGGCAAGAUGGCGGGGGGUGAAGCUGGAGUGACUCUGGGGCAACCGCACCUUUCUCGCCAAGAUCUUGCCACUUUGGAUGUUACCAAGCUGACACCACUUUCACAUGAAGUAAUCAGCAGACAAGCUACAAUUAAUAUAGGAACCAUUGGUCAUGUAGCUCAUGGGAAAUCCACGGUUGUAAAAGCCAUUUCUGGAGUUCACACUGUCAGGUUCAAAAAUGAACUAGAAAGAAACAUUACAAUUAAGCUCGGAUAUGCUAAUGCUAAGAUUUAUAAACUUGAUGAUCCAAGUUGUCCUCGACCAGAAUGCUAUAGGUCAUAUGGAAGUGAUACCCCUGAUGAGUUUCCUACAGACAUUCCAGGGACCAAAGGGAACUUCAAAUUGGUCAGACAUGUUUCCUUUGUUGACUGUCCUGGCCAUGACAUUUUGAUGGCAACUAUGCUGAACGGUGCAGCAGUGAUGGAUGCAGCACUCCUGUUGAUAGCUGGCAAUGAAUCUUGCCCUCAGCCUCAGACUUCUGAACACUUGGCUGCAGUAGAAAUCAUGAAACUGAAGCAUAUUUUGAUCCUACAGAAUAAAAUUGAUUUGGUAAAAGAAAGUCAGGCUAAAGAACAAUAUGAACAGAUCCUUGCAUUUGUACAAGGUACAGGAGCAGAAGGGGCUCCCAUUAUUCCAAUUUCUGCCCAGCUGAAAUACAAUAUUGAAGUUGUCUGUGAGUACAUAGUAAAGAAAAUACCAGUACCUCUUAGAGACUUCACCUCAGAACCUCGACUUAUUGUUAUUAGGUCAUUUGAUGUCAACAGACCUGGUUGUGAAGUUGAUGACCUUAAGGGAGGUGUGGCUGGGGGUAGUAUUCUAAAAGGAGUACUGAAGGUGGGCCAAGAGAUAGAAGUCAGACCUGGCAUUGUUUCGAAAGAUAGUGAAGGAAAACUCAUGUGUAAGCCAAUCUUUUCCAAAAUUGUAUCACUUUUUGCAGAACAUAAUGACCUUCAGUAUGCUGCUCCUGGGGGUCUUAUUGGAGUUGGCACAAAAAUUGACCCCACCUUGUGCCGAGCUGACAGAAUGGUGGGGCAGGUCCUUGGUACAGUUGGAGCUUUACCUGAGAUAUUCACGGAAUUAGAAAUUUCCUAUUUCCUACUUAGACGGCUUCUAGGUGUACGCACUGAAGGUGACAAGAAAGCAGCAAAGGUCCAAAAGCUGUCCAAAAAUGAAGUACUUAUGGUCAACAUAGGAUCUCUGUCAGCAGGAGGAAGAGUUAGUGCUGUCAAGGCUGAUUUGGGCAAGAUCAUUCUGACUAGUCCUGUGUGCACAGAGGUGGGAGAAAAAAUUGCUCUGAGCAGAAGAGUUGAGAAGCACUGGCGUUUAAUUGGUUGGGGUCAGAUAAGAAGAGGAGUGACAAUCAAGCCAACCACAGAUGAUGACUGAAGAGUCCCAGUUCAAUUGUACAUCUGAAUGCAGCUGGAAUUUUCUGAACAAUUAAGGGGUAUAUUUUAAGAGAAUUAAUUUCACACCUCAUUACCUUAGUAGGUAGAUGUAAGAUUCUUCUUCUUUUUGGGUGAUGAAAAUCUAACCUGUAGUACUAAUACAAGGUCUCCAAUAAAUGUA